Molecule: ribosomal RNA, 1583 nt
Filed under: Salmonella enterica
Lineage: Bacteria; Pseudomonadati; Pseudomonadota; Gammaproteobacteria; Enterobacterales; Enterobacteriaceae
Also listed under: 1 other name
Description: partial 23S ribosomal RNA
Rfam family: Bacterial large subunit ribosomal RNA
Source: RNAcentral
CGUUCUGUAAGCCUGUGAAGGUGUGUCGUGAGGCAUGCUGGAGGUAUCAGAAGUGCGAAUGCUGACAUAAGUAACGAUAAAGCGGGUGAAAAGCCCGCUCGCCGGAAGACCAAGGGUUCCUGUCCAACGUUAAUCGGGGCAGGGUGAGUCGACCCCUAAGGCGAGGCCGAAAGGCGUAGUCGAUGGGAAACGGGUUAAUAUUCCCGUACUUGGUGUUACUGCGAAGGGGGGACGGAGAAGGCUAUGUUGGCCGGGCGACGGUUGUCCCGGUUUAAGCGUGUAGGUGUGUGUUCCAGGUAAAUCCGGUUCACUUUAACACUGAGGCGUGACGACGAGGCACUACGGUGCUGAAGCAACAAAUGCCCUGCUUCCAGGAAAAGCCUCUAAGCAUCAGGUAACACGAAAUCGUACCCCAAACCGACACAGGUGGUCAGGUAGAGAAUACCAAGGCGCUUGAGAGAACUCGGGUGAAGGAACUAGGCAAAAUGGUGCCGUAACUUCGGGAGAAGGCACGCUGACACGUAGGUGAAGUGAUUUACUCAUGGAGCUGAAGUCAGUCGAAGAUACCAGCUGGCUGCAACUGUUUAUUAAAAACACAGCACUGUGCAAACACGAAAGUGGACGUAUACGGUGUGACGCCUGCCCGGUGCCGGAAGGUUAAUUGAUGGGGUCAGCGUAAGCGAAGCUCCUGAUCGAAGCCCCGGUAAACGGCGGCCGUAACUAUAACGGUCCUAAGGUAGCGAAAUUCCUUGUCGGGUAAGUUCCGACCUGCACGAAUGGCGUAAUGAUGGCCAGGCUGUCUCCACCCGAGACUCAGUGAAAUUGAACUCGCUGUGAAGAUGCAGUGUACCCGCGGCAAGACGGAAAGACCCCGUGAACCUUUACUAUAGCUUGACACUGAACAUUGAGCCUUGAUGUGUAGGAUAGGUGGGAGGCUUUGAAGUGUGGACGCCAGUCUGCAUGGAGCCGACCUUGAAAUACCACCCUUUAAUGUUUGAUGUUCUAACGUGGACCCGUAAUCCGGGUUGCGGACAGUGUCUGGUGGGUAGUUUGACUGGGGCGGUCUCCUCCUAAAGAGUAACGGAGGAGCACGAAGGUUGGCUAAUCCUGGUCGGACAUCAGGAGGUUAGUGCAAUGGCAUAAGCCAGCUUGACUGCGAGCGUGACGGCGCGAGCAGGUGCGAAAGCAGGUCAUAGUGAUCCGGUGGUUCUGAAUGGAAGGGCCAUCGCUCAACGGAUAAAAGGUACUCCGGGGAUAACAGGCUGAUACCGCCCAAGAGUUCAUAUCGACGGCGGUGUUUGGCACCUCGAUGUCGGCUCAUCACAUCCUGGGGCUGAAGUAGGUCCCAAGGGUAUGGCUGUUCGCCAUUUAAAGUGGUACGCGAGCUGGGUUUAGAACGUCGUGAGACAGUUCGGUCCCUAUCUGCCGUGGGCGCUGGAGAACUGAGGGGGGCUGCUCCUAGUACGAGAGGACCGGAGUGGACGCAUCACUGGUGUUCGGGUUGUCAUGCCAAUGGCACUGCCCGGUAGCUAAAUGCGGAAGAGAUAAGUGCUGAAAGCAUCUAAGCACGAAACUUGCCCCGA